CAAAAAAUAGUUUAAGUAAAAUGUGAGUUUUGGGGACUUGUGAUAGGACUUAGUCCUUUUUUGA
Molecule: transfer RNA, 64 nt
Filed under: Uroplatus sikorae
Lineage: Eukaryota; Metazoa; Chordata; Lepidosauria; Squamata; Gekkonidae
Description: tRNA-Pro
Source: RNAcentral